AUACGGAGGGUGCAAGCGUUAAUCGGAAUUACUGGGCGUAAAGAGUACGUAGGCGGCCUAUUAAGUCAGAUGUGAAAGCCCAGGGCCCAACCUUGGAACUGCAUUUGAAACUGGUAGGCUAGAGUAUGGUAGAGGGGGGUAGAAUUUCUGGUGUAGCGGUGAAAUGCGUAGAUAUCAGAAGGAAUACCAGUGGCGAAGGCGGCCCCCUGGCCCAAUACUGACGCUGAGGUACGAAAGCGUGGGUAGCGAACGGGAUUAGAAACCCCGGUAGUCC
This 274-nucleotide ribosomal RNA is filed under the name uncultured bacterium. RNAcentral's name for it is "partial 16S ribosomal RNA". It matches the Rfam family "Bacterial small subunit ribosomal RNA", at positions 523 to 796 of the family's 1533-position model. The record is from RNAcentral.